This 68-nucleotide transfer RNA is filed under the name Marmota monax (woodchuck). RNAcentral describes it as "tRNA.Ala". The stretch from base 3 to 63 matches the Rfam family "tRNA", at positions 6 to 65 of the family's 71-position model. From Rfam's summary of the family: Transfer RNA (tRNA) molecules are approximately 80 nucleotides in length. Their secondary structure includes four short double-helical elements and three loops (D, anti-codon, and T loops). Further hydrogen bonds mediate the characteristic L-shaped molecular structure. tRNAs have two regions of fundamental functional importance: the anti-codon, which is responsible for specific mRNA codon recognition, and the 3' end, to which the tRNAs corresponding amino acid is attached (by aminoacyl-tRNA synthetases). tRNAs cope with the degeneracy of the genetic code in two manners: having more than one tRNA (with a specific anti-codon) for a particular amino acid; and 'wobble' base-pairing, i.e. permitting non-standard base-pairing at the 3rd anti-codon position. Lineage: Eukaryota; Metazoa; Chordata; Mammalia; Rodentia; Sciuridae. The record is from RNAcentral.
GCUGUAGCUCAGUGGUAGAGCACUUGCCUAGCAAGUAUGAGGCACUGGGUUCAAUCCUCAGCACCGCA